AUGACAACCACAGUUAUCCCCAGACAUGGCCUAGUGACCCCUGAGCACAAAAUCAUCCCAGGGGGCAGUGGAGCAGGCGUGUGGUCUGGCAGCAGCACGACUGGGGCCCACAAGGCGCCAGGGGCCUCGGACGAUGGCGCAGCCUGAGGCCUGCGGGUAGACGGGCUGCCCCUGCUGCCCAAGAGCCUGAGCCGGCUGCUGUACUGUGCGUCAGGCAGCUGCACCUGGAGCAGCUGUAAGCGCAGAAGUCGCGCAUCCAGGACGAGCUGAGCUGCGGGGGUGCGUGAGGCAGCGGGGCCGGGCUGCAGCGCUGUCAGCCAAGCCACCCAACCUGGACACCGCGCUGCUGCUGCUCCACAAGGAGACGGUUGGUCUCCGCCAGCUGGACAUGUCCUUGCUCUACCAACUGUACAGGCUCUACGAGUCGAUUCAGGAGUGCAAGUGGGCCUGCCAGGCAGCCUCCAGCCCAGACUGCACUUAUGCUCUGGAGAAUGGCUUCUUCAAUGAAGAGGAAGAAUAUUUCCAGGAGCAGAACUCCCUGCAUGACAGAAGGGACCGAGGCCCUUCUUGGGACUUGUCACUGCCUGCCUCCUCCCUCUCCAGCAGUGACUGGAAUCUGGAGUCCAUCUAGAGGGUCUUGGGAGGGAUGUGACUAUUGAG
This is a non-coding RNA of Callithrix jacchus (white-tufted-ear marmoset), 660 nucleotides long. The record is from RefSeq and is a predicted model, not a curated record. Lineage: Eukaryota; Metazoa; Chordata; Mammalia; Primates; Cebidae.